CACACCGCCCGUCACACCAUGGGAGUCAGUUGCUCCAGAAGUGGCCGCGCCAACCGCAAGGAGGCAGGCCCCCAAGGAGUGACUGGUAACUGGGGUG
RNAcentral lists this ribosomal RNA (97 nucleotides) under uncultured bacterium. RNAcentral describes it as "partial 16S ribosomal RNA". It matches the Rfam family "Bacterial small subunit ribosomal RNA", at positions 1386 to 1482 of the family's 1533-position model. The record is from RNAcentral.